Molecule: ribosomal RNA, 733 nt
Filed under: uncultured eukaryote
Lineage: Eukaryota
Description: SSU rRNA
Rfam family: Eukaryotic small subunit ribosomal RNA
Source: RNAcentral
GGCGUGUACUGCUUGGCUGGGCCUUACUUCUUGGUGAGCCGGCGUGCCCUUUAUUGGUGUGCGUCGGGGAACCAAGACUUUUACCUUGAGAAAAUUAGAGUGUUCAAAGCAGGCCUAUGCCUGAAUACAUUAGCAUGGAAUAAUAGAAUAGGACGUGCGGUUCUAUUUUGUUGGUUUCUAGAGUCGCCGUAAUGAUUAAUAGGGACAGUUGGGGGCAUUGGUAUUGAGUCGCUAGAGGUGAAAUUCUUGGAUUGACUCAAGACCGACUAUUGCGAAAGCAUUUGCCAAGGAUGUUUUCAUUAAUCAAGAACGAAGGUUAGGGGAUCGAAAACGAUCAGAGACCGUUGUAGUCUUAACAGUAAACUAUGCCGACUAGGGAUCGGAUGACCUCAAAAUUGAUGUGUCAUUCGGCACCUUACGAGAAAUCAAAGUCUUUGGGUUUUGGGGGGAGUAUGGUCGCAAGGCUGAAACUUAAAGGAAUUGAGGGAGGGGCACCCCCAGGUGUGGAGCCUGCGGCUUAAUUUGACUCAACACGGGGAAACUCACCAGGUCCAGACAUAACUAGGAUUGACAGAUUGAUAGCUCUUUCAUGAUUUUAUGGGGUGGUGGUGCAUGGCCGUUCUUAGUUGGUGGAGUGAUUUGUCUGGUUAAUUCCGAUAACGAACGAGACCUUAACCUCCUAAAUAGCCAGCCCGGCUUCGGCUGGUCUCUGGCUUCUUAGAGGGACUGUCAG